ACGAGUUAAAUCAAUAAAUAUACAUAAAUUCGCGUAAAGCUUAAACGACCGUCUCAUCUUCUUCUUCCUUUUCCUUUUCGAUUGGCUUUCCCAAUCAUUUCCCUUGAUCCCUGUAAAGCGAUUUGUUAUUUUCCUCUUUUCGCUCGCAUCCCAAAUCUUUUCUUCUCUAUCUCUGAUUUAUCGUAAACUUCUUUUGUAAGACAAACGAAUACGAAGUCAAUUUGGGGCUUUUUAGGUGGAGCAAAUUGAGAGAUUGCAAACUGUGGAGUUUGGGGAUCGAUCAAUUUUUGUUACUGAUGACGACGACGUUAAGGUACCAUCUCCGGCAGAACUACCAAGAGGACAGAGCGGUGGCUGCUCGGAGGAACAAACUACAGCAACGAAGCACAAUAAAAUGUAUUUCCAAGUGAAGCAUAACUUGGAAAAGCCAAGGUAAUAUCCCUGAACAAAAUAGAGAAAGUAAAAUCUUAUUUGGUGUAUUAUUUAUGAUUUGGGAGUUAUUGGAGAGGCCGACUCAGCUGUUAACUGAAGUCAGAAGUCGAGGUACAAAUCUGCAAAAGAUCAUACAUAUUACACAUGGUGAUUUUAAUUUUUAAGUGUACUCAGUUGUUUUCUUAAUUUUUACAUGAACUGUUCCAUUUACAGUCAAUAAAAUCAUCUUGUCUUCUAUAUCAGAUCAAACCCCUAAUUUUAAAAAUCCCACAAUGGUUCUCAAGAAGGUUUUACCCAACGCUCAGGGUGAGGGUGUUGGUGCUGUUGUUAAGAGAAGCAUUAGAAGGUAUAAAAUUGACAAAUUAUUGUUUUUUUUCAUAACUUUUUUUCUCUUAAAUGUGAAAAUUUCUUAUGGGUUUAUUGGGGAUUUUAGAAAUUUGAGGUGGAGAUGGAAUUGGGAUGUUUGAUUGUAGUGUUCUAGACAAUUUUGAAAAUCAUAGAGCUAUAGUUCAUAGACUCCUUAAUUUUGAAAAUCCCAGAAUGGUUUUUAUGAAGGUUUUAGCCAAGGCUCAGGCCUCAAGAGGGUGCUGGUGCUGUUGUUAGUAGAAGCAUUGGAAG
This 1050-nucleotide long non-coding RNA is filed under the name Panax ginseng (ginseng). Its description in RNAcentral is "long non-coding RNA (PGIN_LNC007583)". The record is from RNAcentral. Lineage: Eukaryota; Viridiplantae; Streptophyta; Magnoliopsida; Apiales; Araliaceae.